Molecule: long non-coding RNA, 8795 nt
Filed under: Homo sapiens (human)
Lineage: Eukaryota; Metazoa; Chordata; Mammalia; Primates; Hominidae
Description: HSALNT0002680
Source: RNAcentral
CGGGCAUGGUGGCAGGCGCCUGUAAUCCCAGCUACUCGGGGGGCCGAGGCAGGAGAAUCACUUGAAUCCGGGAGUCAGAGGUUGCAGUGAGCCGAGAUUGUGCCAUCACACUCCAGCCUGGGGGACAAGAGCGAGACUUUGUCUCAAAAAAAAAAAGAGAGAGAGAGACAGAUUGCACACUGGGCAGAGCUGGGGUUUGAACACAGGAUCAAGACCUGGGUUCUUCCUCUGCCUUCUCUACUUCCUCAACAAAAUUGGUAGGCUGACAAAAAUUCUUGCCCAGUAGCUGGAAGGCAGCGUGGAUUGUGAAGAGGAGAUCUAAAGGGAAACAAAUAAAUGGUCCUGGAACAGGACAAAUGGGCGGCAGAAGAGAAUAGCCGGCCUCUCAGCCCUUCAGCUGAUUCCUCCUAUAUCAAGGGUCACAGCCCUGCUACCACUGAUGGCAGAAGACAAGUGCUUGUGGCAUUUAUACUCAAGGAUGGCUCUUUAGAGCCCCUCUUCAACUCUUCAAGAAAAAAAAAAACAAAAAACAGAACCGUUAUUCUGUCUCCAAGGAAGAGAGGCCAAUUUUACCUUUUCCCUAGAGGAAUUUCCUAACCCUUCUCCACACAGAGAAAGCCCCAGAGCCUUUACAUUGGAAUCAUCCCUGGGCAAAUCCUGCAAGAGGAGAUUAAAAACAAACAAACAAAGCGUUUCCACCAGAAAAUGUGAGAAGUGAGCCUUUUUUGAAGGUAAGAAUUAGAAGUGACAGCGAAUCGGUGAAGGAACCAAGGCCAUGACAGGUGGUGAAGACAAGUAGGAGAGACAGUCACACUUCUACUUAUGAAAAGUGACUCCAAAGAAAGCCACUUUAUGCUGUGGGCCUGGUGGGUGAUACUGAGAUAGCACCAUUUAAACCAGCGAGAGCCACCUACGGCUUGCAGACUAGGGGUUUUUUUUUUCUCCAACAUGUACAGAUUUAUUUAGUGCUGUUAACUCUUCUUUUGGGCUUCUAAGCCCUGAAGAAUGGAUCCCAGGAAAACUGGACCGGAAAUCAGGAGCCUGCCAGCUAUAGCUGGGGCUUAUCCUCACCUUCACAUACAAAAGAAGGAAGGGCUAUGGACUAGCUGAAGUCCCUUCCAAAUUUAACUCAAUGUAAUUUUUAAUUUAUUCUGGCAAAUAUGUAUUGAAGACACACACUGUGUCAGGCAUGAUCUUGGCUUGAAGAUGUAAAGAUUUAGUCCCUGCCCUUGAGAACUCAGGCUAGUAGGGGAGAAGUGUGUGUCAGGAAAUACCCCAAGUCAUCGGUGCGAUGAGUGCAACAAGGCUGUUUGAAGGGAGAAGCAGGGCUGGGGAGGCCCCUGAACUGGGGGCCUAGGAAGGCUCAUGAAAUAAAUGAUGAAUAAAUGAUGUCUAAGCUGGGUUACUAAGGGUCAUGAGGCAUUCACUGGGGAGGGAGAGGGGGUGUCUGGUAAAGGGCUCCUUGCUACUUCCUAACCUGGAGCAAUCCAGAGAUGUAAGCUCUCUAGGUGCAAAGGAACCAGGCCUUUGGUUGGCUCAUGGGGGAAUGUGGUGCCCAGCCUAGGAACAGAAUCCAAGGUCAUUCUACUCUGAGUGGCCCUAAACUCACCAGGCCAAGGUCAUCCUCUAGGGCAGGGCUGUCCCAACAUCCUUCCUCACAGCCUUGGGGUUCAGAGGGGCGAGGUGGAGUGCAUGCAGGAGGGGAGGGCUAAGUGAGCAGGCCUUCAGUCCCAGCCUUCUGCCUUUCCAGUUGUCAUCUACAGAAGAGGAUGUCGUUGCUGGAGCAUUUUUGGAAAUCAGUGCUCUCAGGCCUGAAGUGGUUAUCAAUUCACAAUGAUCUCCUCGCAGAAACUUGAAUAUGAAAAGCAUCAUGAAAAAGGUUCUCUCCAGUUUUCUCCUCUUGUUUCUGAUGGCAGCUUCUUAGUUUCCUUGGCUGAUUCCCAAUUUGCCCUCUUCUAAGAGUCCAUUAAACGCUGGGAUUCUUCAGGGCUCUGGCCUGCAUUUGAGCUUCUUCUCAGGCUACCCUCUCCCGCAGGGGUAUCUUAUGGAGCUCCAGAUUUACAGUUCACCUGUUUGGCAAGGAUGCCCACCUCUCCAGCUCCUCUAGGUCCCAGAUGCACCCACACCACUGCCCUCCAUGACAUCACCACCUGAUGCCUCAAACUAAAUACAGCCAAGACUUGAACUCAUAACUGCCCCAUCUGCAGCCCCAGUUGUACUCUCUCCCCACCACUGCGACUCUCCGCAAAUGGUCCCACCAUAACCCAGUUGCUCAACCCAGAUCUUUAGCAAUCACUCUUAACUACUUCCUCUUCCUCACUCCCAACAUCCAAUUAACCACCAGUUCUUGGUCAUUCUGUCCUCUAACACUCUCUCAGAUCUGCCUGCCUCUCCCCAUCCCCACCAUCAGCACCCUAGUUCAGGCCACUUUCACUUGGACAACUACAAAAAUCUCCAUGAUCCCUCACCUCCCAUCUGGACUCCCCCUAAUCUGUUCUCCACACAGCUGCUGGGAUAUUUCAAGAACACAAAUCUGAUCCUAAGAAUCCCCUCCUGAAAACCUUUUAAUGGCUUCCCAUUCCUUUACAGCCCAAAAUCCUUCAAGAGGCUUAAAGGGCUACAAAUGACUGGGCAUCUCUCCAGCCCCAACUCAUGAAAUCCUCCAGCAUGUGAGACUUUGCCGAGUUCCUAGCACAAUACCUGCUCCCCGCUUCCCUGCCUCCCUUCCCUGUGCAGGCCCCUGUGCUACUCCUGCUGGCGGGGACUCCACUCUGCACCCCCCGCCUCCCCCCACCAACCCCGCCCCGUGCCCAGCCAUCUCUUACUUGACCUUCACUUCUCAGCUUGCGCUACACUCCUCGGGGAAGUCUGCUGCGUCCGUAUAGGUCAGGCCUCCAGUGCUCACGAUUUAUGCUCUGCAGCACUGCGCAUGCUCUUAUUUAUCUACAAUCAUUAGUUUGUUGUCUGUCUUUCAAAGAGCCAUGUUCUUCACUGCUCUCUAACCCGUGCUCAGCAUGGUGCCUAGCACACGACAGGUGCUCCAUUUGUAUUCUUUAAAGUAUUUUUUUAAACCACUUCUAUAGCUCUUCCUGGCACCGGUAAGCGAAUGCUGCCCUCAGAUCCCCACCUCUCUCCCUUCCCAUUCUCCUCUUUCCCUCAGUCCGUGGUCUGGUUCCUGUCACCAGGGCCUUGUGUCCUACUGAUUCCAACAUAACCUUCACACACUGUGUGAUGAUGAAACCUAGAAAGCAAUUUCAUUUUCUACUGAGUAAUGCCUACGAUGUCAGAAUACACCCACUAUUGUUACUUCUAUAGAAAUUAUAAUCCAAACUCUAGGGAUCUGUGUCUAGAGUCCAGAAUCCAGAUUGGCACCAAAAAGGGAAGAAGCAUUAUUUAAUAAAAUAUUUGUCUGGUUUCCAUUCUCACUGUUGCUUUCUCAGAGAGAUAAACAUAUAUACUAUGGGGAUGUUCUGGUUAAAUAGUUUGGCUUAGUUGGGAUUUAUAGCGAUUAUCUCAGAAGCUCAGUUGCUCAGGAGGGGGAACAGGUAGGCAGAGCAAUCCCUUAGAAGUGUAAGAUGUACAAGCAUCAAGCACAGGAAAAAGAAAAACCUUGCUUUCCAAAGUCCAAAAGCUUUCCUCUGGCUGCAGUGCAGCCUCUUGCUGGUGCAGGCAACAUGACCGAGAGCCAAGCGUGAAUGACAGAGUCUGAUUUGUUCAGCAAAGCCUGUUUCAAAGCAAUUAAAAAGAGAACGUCAUCUCCUGUAGAAGCUGCAAACAAAAGGCCAGGGAUGCUUUUUCCUUUUUUAAUUGAUCUGGGCUGUCAACUACUUCAUUAGCAACCUGAUUAGGUUCUAAUCAGCCCUCUAAUUAAGUGCUUUCAAAUCAGAACCUGAGAAGGGUGUGAACUUAGAAGGGGUGAUGGUGCAGGUUGGACAGGACCACUUGCAAGAAAUUCCAAUGAGUUCCUUAACCUGAGGCAAGAUUCAAACUUUAUUCUUGCAAGUAGAUUUCCAUACAGUGGGGGGAGUCCUGUGAACAUUUUGUUUCGGAAACAAAUGGUUCAACUCCUUACUUUGAAAGUCUAGGCAGUAAAGCACCAAGAACUUCUUGCUUAAGAAGAACAUGGAAAAAUAAUUGGAAAAUAUUUCACAAACAGGAGCAAAGGGAGAAAGCAAAAUUAAUGCUUUUGGCUGACAGUCUGUCUUCUAGAAUGACUUUCUUUGGCCUCAGGAAACCCUUGGACUCUAGGUAACCAAGAAGUGUCUUGGAAAGACCUCUCAAAUCUAAAAUUCAGGGAAACCCAGCACCAUUUCUUGCAACGCCACAAAGAGGCAAGUGCAGAUCCUAACCCGCACUCCGCUUCAAAGGUGCUUCACUUUUGAGAUGUCGGUUCUGAGGUGGUGGUGGUUGUUUGACAGCCGUAUAUUAUUAAUACCUUCAACCGCCAAUACUAGGAGCUCCGAUCAUGUUUUGAUGACCAACACGAGUCUAACAUAUAAGUAAGCUUGGGAAUUUUAUUCUUCAAAACCACAGUGAUCAUAAAAGGGCAUUUUAUUAGUCCAUUCUCUGACUGCCAUAAAUAAAUACCUGAGACUGGGUAAUGUAUAAAGAAAAGAGGUUGAAUUGGCUCACGAUUCUGCAGGCUGUACAGGAAGCAUGGUGGCAUCUGCUUGGCUUCUGGGGAAGCCUCAGGAAACUUACAAUCAUGGCAGAAGGUGAAAGGAAAGCAGGCACAUCACAUGGUCGGAACAGGAGGAAGAGAAAGAAGGGGGAAGUGAUAUACAUUUUUAAACAGUCAGAUCUCCUGAGAACUCACUAUCACAACAGCACCAAGGGGCGAUGGUAUUAAGCCAUGAGAACUCUGCCCUUCCCCCAGCAAUGAUCCAAUCACCUCCCACCAGGCCCCACAUCCAACACUGGGGAUUACAAUUCGACAGGAGAUUUGCGUGGGACACAGAUCCAAACCAUAUCAGUCAUUAAAAGAAAAAUCAUUUGAUGUGGCUCUUCAUGGAAGCAAGAAUUUUUCAUGCAGAUGGGAUGAAAGGAUACCAUAAGUUAGCCAACACAAGACCUUAUCUUAGCACCCAAAUGUUAUAACCCGGACCCCACCUCUGGAAUUUUCUAAGUUAAGAAGGUAGAUCGAAAGUAAGUGCAAUUCAUUUGACCACAAUGGGCUGAAGCAUAGGUAAUAUGAAAAUCAACAGAACUGAAGCUCUCUGAAAGUUUUCUGAACUGGGAGUGUGUGGCUGGUGUGUGUGUGGUAGGGGGAGAUGGUUGUGAAUUAGGGGAUGGGGAAGUAUGAAUUUACUGUAAACUUCCAUUGGCUUGUGUUAUAAACAAAUCCAGGUUACUCUGGAACAUGUUUUUUAGUUAUGACCUUGUAGCACUGUCCCUCCAUGUCACAAGGGUGAUGACAGAAACUGAAGCUGAUUACAGGUAAAGUUAUGGCAUCCUAUGACCGCUAGCUCCUCCAGUGAGGUAGGAUGUUAAAAACACAGGCUUUGGAAUCAGACCAUCCUGAUUGUGGCUUAGGAUGGGUUUUUAUCUGUUCUAAGCUCCUAUUUCCUUAUCUGUAAAAUGGGCAUAAUAUUCUACCCUUACAGAGAUUUUAUGAAUAUUAAAGAGAAGACAUUUUUAAAGUGCUGAUCCCACAGUAAUGACUAUGACAGGUCAGGUUCCUUCUCCUCCUUCUCUCCUCACCUUUUCCUGCCCUAUCUUUUCCUCUCGCAGACCCCUAACCUCCUCUUCUCCUCUUAGAACCACAUUUUAAAACUUUAACCUGUAAAGCCAGAAACUAUUUUUUCAUUGAUUUAGUUUGUAGAUCAAUUGAAUCCAAAACACAGGCCAUCAGUAGACGUUCUUGUAUAUCAUUUUCACAGGUUUUAUACUUUCCUAAAAGUCUUGUAAUGGAUCUGUAAAAAAUGAGAUUUAGGGUAUUUAUCAAAACAGUCUACAAAGCCCUGAGCAUAAUGGCUCCCUCUUUUCAUCAUACCAGGACUUGUCCAGAGUCUCUUUACCCUGUUUCUUGUCAUAGAACUUCAAAGAGCAGUUACCCACCUCUCUGCCUCCUCUUGCUUUCUCUGCAUCGGCCUUGACAAUAGCACCUACUAUAAGACAAGCAGGUGCCCUUACUCAAGGGCAUAAGUGGCAAACAAAGUGGUUAACACAGUUCAAAAGCUUUGACAUGCUGACUUUGGGAGCAGCCCAAAUGGGAAAUGCUCUGGUUAUUCAUGCAAACGGCAGGUCUGUCCACCCUCCUUAAAAACUACUUUGCUUAUGGCCUGGUGGGUGGCUCACACCUAUAAUUCCAGCACUUUGGGAGGACGAGGUGGGCGGAUCACUUGAGGUCAGGAGUUCGAGAUCAGCCUGGCCAACAAGGUGAAACCCCAUCUCUACCAAAAAAUACAAAAAUUAGCCAUGCACGUGGCAUGUGGCUGUAAUCCCAGCUACUCCAGAGGCUGAGGCACGAGAAUCGCUUGAACCCAGGAGGUGGAGGUUGCAGUGAGCCGAGAUUGUGCCACCGCACUCCAGCCUGGGUGACAGAGCGAGACCCUGUCUCAAAAAAACAAAACAAAACAAAACAAAACAAAACAAACAAAGAAACACAAAAACUACAUCACUUAAAAAAUAUAUACAAAUAAACUCAGUCCAUUGCAAGGGCUCUUGACUGGGCUUGAGAGCUUGCAGGCCACUGACCUGCUGUGUGGAAACUAGAAAGACAGAACAUGAACGGGAAAAGCAGAGGGAGCCAGAGAGGGACUGAAAUUCAAGAAAAAUACAUUUAGAGGGCAGUGGGAGGAGGCGGAGCCAGAAAGCCAACAGAGGACGAAUGUUGAGAAAAGUAGGUGAAUAAGGAGGGUGUGAUUUCAAGGAAUCCAAGAAAACAGGGGAUACAGAGAAGGAGUGUUCAGCAGGACCUGCUACUACUGAUACCUAACAUUACCGCCUGUUCCUAUGUGCCAGGCUCUAGUUACGUGCAUGACCUAAGUUUUCUCUGUUGCCAUAGCUGGUAAGAGAGAUAUUAUUCUUAUGCUCAUAUUACAAAUAAGGAAGCUGAGGUUCUGAGAAGAUGAGCUAAUCUGCAAGAUCACACCACUACCUCAGUCUUGGAAGAUGUGAGCCUGGAGCUCAUGCACCAUCCCACACCAUGAGAGGAAAGCCUGCCUGAGAAAGGAGCCUACACAAAGGAUGCAAAGCAGAGAGACACAGGAAGAAGCCAGUUCUAUCACUUGCGCUGCUGGAUCAAGCCACGCCUAAAGAUGUCUCUAUCCCUGGACUUUCCAGUUAAGCCUAUUUGGAUGGCUUUCUCUCGAAGGCAACUCAGAGUCCUAAUAGAGAUAUUUCCAAUGCCACUGAUUUCCAGAUAUUACCACUUAUGCUCAAAAACUAUCAAUGGUUUCCUACUGCCUAUAGGAUAAAGUUGAAAUUCCUUAGCCUGGCACCAAGACCAUCCACAAGAUGGCCUCAAGUUACUUCCCCACCUUUAUUUUGAAUUGCUAUCUUAAAUGUAACCCUUCUUCUGUCAAGCUGUACACUCUGUCUCCUGAAUAUUCACCUUUGAAAAACAGUCUUGUUUUUCUAAGAAAUAUCGUCUCACCCACCGCAGGCCCCAGUGAUCUCUCUUCUCUGAAUUUCCAUCACAGCCACUGUCUUGAGCUUUUCUCUGACACUCAUCAUAAGCUACCUAACUGCUCUCAUUCUUUAACCAUUAUUUAAUGGGCAUUAGAGGUACUGAGGAGACGUGACAUCUGUCCUCAAGAAACUUGCAGACUAAUAGGCGAAUCAAUGACCAAAUAUUUAUGCAAAGAGUAUUACAUAGUUAAGAUAAGCAGUAAGAAAAAUAAAAGGCCAAGUUUUCAUCAGAAGGCAUUCGUCAGAAGCGGCCUGAUCUUUUGUACCUAAAAAUAAGACCAUAAGCCCCUCAGCUGACUGAACGGAACCCCUCUUGGCCACGUGGUCCCCAGAGAAACCUUAAAAACUGCGUUCCCAGCCAUGGCCCGAUGGAAGGUCAGACAUGCCUCAUUAUACCUCCUUCCUUUUGCAGUUUAGACACAACAAGGCACCAGCACUAAUAUGAAAAUAGAGAUCAUACAACUGACAGAAUGGACCCUUUGUAGCAAUAAGAUACUAAACUAUAAACAGGACCUAAGGCCACACCGGGCAAGGGUUAAGUCAUAUAUCCUACGCUCAAAGGAUAAACUCUGUUCUAGCUGCCACAAGAUUUUUCUUUUCCUCCAGAAGCUAAACAAGUGCUGGCCUGGAGAUAAGCAAUACUGAAACAAUGGCAGCUCAUCCACUGCCAGAUGCUGACCCACUGACCCCCUGCUCCACAAGCCGUAACUACAGCUUUGAUUGGACAGGAAACUGAUUUCAAUAACUUUCUGCUGGUAAGAAAACCACCGACCAUGCACUGGCUCUGGCCGGUUCACAGAGGCUACGCACUUGAGUGCCUUUGCAUCCUGAAAAGACCUUUUGACAUAUAGGGCCUAACUGUAAUAUAUUUAAAUGUUAAGUCUUCACCCCAAAGUGAACAUGGGUUGUAUGUAACAUGCAUGUUUAUUCAGUAUGCGGGUGUUAGGACCGCCUUCGUGAAUAUUCAUAGCUCCUCCUGUAACCUGUUGAGUAUGUAUAUUUGGCCAACCCAUUAAGCUUAUGCUCUUAUCUUACCCCUUUCUCCCUCAAAGUGCCUGCCUUUUGGGCUCUGUCAGAGGCUAUGCUUCCCAGCCUGUCAGGACAGCCACUGUGCAUGCUGUAACCCUUUAUAGAAAAUAAAAUCUCCUUUCGAAAUUUAUAAA